CUCUCUGUCCUUGAAACGGAAUUCAAUCGCACUCAGCUCUGCCAAUUCUUCAUGGAUCCACUGCUGAGGACCUGCUGAUUGAAGCAUUCCGAUGUAAUUGAACAUCAGUUGUAUUAUCUCAUCGACGUGUUCGAGCCCUUCAGUACUCAA
Molecule: non-coding RNA, 150 nt
Organism: Caenorhabditis elegans
Lineage: Eukaryota; Metazoa; Nematoda; Chromadorea; Rhabditida; Rhabditidae
Source: Ensembl